AGAGUUUGAUACUGGCUCAGGACGAACGCUGGCGGCGUGCCUAAUACAUGCAAGUAGAACGCUGAAGGGAGGAGCUUGCUCUUCUUGGAUGAGUUGCGAACGGGUGAGUAACGCGUAGGUAACCUGCCUUGUAGCGGGGGAUAACUAUUGGAAACGAUAGCUAAUACCGCAUAACAAUGGAUGACACAUGUCAUUUAUUUGAAAGGGGCAAUUGUUCCACUACAAGAUGGACCUGCGUUGUAUUAGCUAGUAGGUGAGGUAAUGGCUCACCUAGGCGACGAUACAUAGCCGACCUGAGAGGGUGAUCGGCCACACUGGGACUGAGACACGGCCCAGACUCCUACGGGAGGCAGCAGUAGGGAAUCUUCGGCAAUGGGGGCAACCCUGACCGAGCAACGCCGCGUGAGUGAAGAAGGUUUUCGGAUCGUAAAGCUCUGUUGUAAGUCAAGAACGGGUGUGAGAGUGGAAAGUUCACACUGUGACGGUAGCUUACCAGAAAGGGACGGCUAACUACGUGCCAGCAGCCGCGGUAAUACGUAGGUCCCGAGCGUUGUCCGGAUUUAUUGGGCGUAAAGCGAGCGCAGGCGGUUUGAUAAGUCUGAAGUUAAAGGCUGUGGCUCAACCAUAGUUCGCUUUGGAAACUGUCAAACUUGAGUGCAGAAGGGGAGAGUGGAAUUCCAUGUGUAGCGGUGAAAUGCGUAGAUAUAUGGAGGAACACCGGUGGCGAAAGCGGCUCUCUGGUCUGUAACUGACGCUGAGGCUCGAAAGCGUGGGGAGCGAACAGGAUUAGAUACCCUGGUAGUCCACGCCGUAAACGAUGAGUGCUAGGUGUUGGAUCCUUUCCGGGAUUCAGUGCCGCAGCUAACGCAUUAAGCACUCCGCCUGGGGAGUACGACCGCAAGGUUGAAACUCAAAGGAAUUGACGGGGGCCCGCACAAGCGGUGGAGCAUGUGGUUUAAUUCGAAGCAACGCGAAGAACCUUACCAGGUCUUGACAUCCCGAUGCUAUUUCUAGAGAUAGAAAGUUACUUCGGUACAUCGGUGACAGGUGGUGCAUGGUUGUCGUCAGCUCGUGUCGUGAGAUGUUGGGUUAAGUCCCGCAACGAGCGCAACCCCUAUUGUUAGUUGCCAUCAUUCAGUUGGGCACUCUAGCGAGACUGCCGGUAAUAAACCGGAGGAAGGUGGGGAUGACGUCAAAUCAUCAUGCCCCUUAUGACCUGGGCUACACACGUGCUACAAUGGUUGGUACAACGAGUUGCGAGUCGGUGACGGCGAGCUAACCUCUUAAAGCCAAUCUCAGUUCGGAUUGUAGGCUGCAACUCGCCUACAUGAAGUCGGAAUCGCUAGUAAUCGCGGAUCAGCACGCCGCGGUGAAUACGUUCCCGGGCCUUGUACACACCGCCCGUCACACCACGAGAGUUUGUAACACCCGAAGUCGGUGAGGUAACCUUUUGGAGCCAGCCGCCUAAGGUGGGACAGAUGAUUGGGGUGAAGUCGUAACAAGGUA
RNAcentral lists this ribosomal RNA (1506 nucleotides) under metagenome. RNAcentral describes it as "bacterial SSU rRNA". It matches the Rfam family "Bacterial small subunit ribosomal RNA". The record is from RNAcentral.